This 94-nucleotide microRNA precursor is filed under the name Erythranthe guttata (spotted monkey flower). Lineage: Eukaryota; Viridiplantae; Streptophyta; Magnoliopsida; Lamiales; Phrymaceae. The record is from RNAcentral.
CGGAGAAGUAGACAUGGCGUGAUAUUGCUUCGGGUUCAUCAGCUCUGGUAGUUGACUGAUGAGCCGAAUCAAUAUCACUCUUGUAUACUUCUCU